Molecule: ribosomal RNA, 482 nt
Filed under: uncultured bacterium
Lineage: Bacteria
Description: partial 16S ribosomal RNA
Rfam family: Bacterial small subunit ribosomal RNA
Source: RNAcentral
AUUGAACGCUGGCGGCAUGCCUUACACAUGCAAGUCGAACGGUAACGGGCCUUCGGGUGCCGCCGAGUGGCGAACGGGUGCGUAAUACAUCGGAACGUGCCCGAUCGUGGGGGUUCACGAGGCGAAAGCUUUGCUAAUACCGCCUACGAUCUCAGGCUGACAGCAGGGGACCGCAAGGGCUUGCGCGGACGGAGCGGCCGAUGGCAGAUUAGGUAGUUGGUGGGAUAAAAGCUUACCAAGCCGACGAUCUGUAGCUGGUCUGAGAGGAUGAUCAGCCACACUGGAACUGAGACACGGCCCAGACUCCUACGGGAGGCAGCAGUGGGGAAUUUUGGACAAUGGGCGCAAGCCUGAUCCAGCCAUGCCGCGUGCAGGAUGAAGGCCUUCGGGUUGUAAACUGCUUUUGUACGGAACGAAAAGCCGUCUUUUAAUACAGGAGGGUCAUGACGGUACCGUAAGAAUAAGCACCGGCUAACUACGUG